UACGUAGGGGGCAAGCGUUGUCCGGAAUUAUUGGGCGUAAAGAGCGCGUAGGCGGUCCGAUAAGUCGGCUGUGAAAGUCAGGGGCUCAACCCUUGAAAGCCGGCCGAUACUGUCGGACUAGAGUCCGGAAGAGGCGAGUGGAAUUCCCGGUGUAGCGGUGAAAUGCGCAGAUAUCAGGAGGAACACCCGUGGCUAAGGCGGUUCUCUAGUACGGUACUGACGCUGAGACGCGAAAGCGUGGGGAGCGAACAGG
This 253-nucleotide ribosomal RNA is filed under the name uncultured bacterium. Its description in RNAcentral is "partial 16S ribosomal RNA". It matches the Rfam family "Bacterial small subunit ribosomal RNA", at positions 524 to 776 of the family's 1533-position model. The record is from RNAcentral.